GGAAUACAGAACGCCGGGCUUCGGCCUGGUUAUUCAUAACCCUUUGUUGUCCGACUCUGUUGCCUCCGGGGCGACCCUGCCUUCGGGCGGGGGCUCCGGGUGGACACUUCAAACUCUUGCGUAACUUUGCAGUCUGAGUAAACUUAAUUAAUAAAUUAAAACUUUUAACAACGGAUCUCUUGGUUCUGGCAUCGAUGAAGAACGCAGCGAAAUGCGAUAAGUAAUGUGAAUUGCAGAAUUCAGUGAAUCAUCGAAUCUUUGAACGCACAUUGCGCCCCCUGGUAUUCCGGGGGGCAUGCCUGUUCGAGCGUCAUUUCACCACUCAAGCCUCGCUUGGUAUUGGGCAACGCGGUCCGCCGCGUGCCUCAAAUCGUCCGGCUGGGUCUUCUGUCCCCUAAGCGUUGUGGAAACUAUUCGCUAAAGGGUGUUCGGGAGGCUACGCCGUAAAACAACCCCAUUUCUAAGGUUGACCUCGGAUCAGGUAGGGAUACCCGCUGAACUUAAGCAUAUCUAACGGCGGGAAGGAA
Molecule: ribosomal RNA, 527 nt
Filed under: Cladosporium herbarum
Lineage: Eukaryota; Fungi; Ascomycota; Dothideomycetes; Cladosporiales; Cladosporiaceae
Description: eukaryotic LSU rRNA
Rfam family: 5.8S ribosomal RNA (bases 160-313)
Source: RNAcentral